RNAcentral lists this ribosomal RNA (467 nucleotides) under uncultured bacterium. Its description in RNAcentral is "partial 16S ribosomal RNA". It matches the Rfam family "Bacterial small subunit ribosomal RNA", at positions 28 to 507 of the family's 1533-position model. The record is from RNAcentral.
GAUGAACGCUGGCGGCGCGCCUAACACAUGCAAGUCGAACGAUUAAAGCACCUUCGGGUGUGUAUAAAGUGGCGAACGGCUGAGUAACACGUGGGCAACCUGCCCCUCUCAUUGGGAUAGCCACGGGAAACCGUGGAUAAUACCGAAUACUUCGGGACUUCCGCAUGGAAGACUCGAGAAAGCUCCGGCGGAGAGGGAUGGGCCCGCGGCCUGUUAGCUUGUUGGUGGGGUAAUGGCCUACCAAGGCAAUGAUGGGUAGCUGGGUUGAGAGACCGACCAGCCAGAUUGGGACUGAGACACGGCCCAGACUCCUACGGGAGGCAGCAGUGGGGAAUCUUGCACAAUGGGCGAAAGCCUGAUGCAGCGACGCCGCGUGCGGGAUGAAGGCCUUCGGGUUGUAAACCGCUUUCAGCAGGGACGAGGCGAAAGUGACGGUACCUGAAGAAGAAGCCCCGGCUAACUACGUG